GGAUUGUGGUUCAGUGGUAGAGCUCUUGCCUAGCAUGUGUGAAACAUUGGGUUCGAUUCUCAGCACCA
RNAcentral lists this transfer RNA (68 nucleotides) under Marmota monax (woodchuck). Its description in RNAcentral is "tRNA.Ala". Lineage: Eukaryota; Metazoa; Chordata; Mammalia; Rodentia; Sciuridae. The record is from RNAcentral.